RNAcentral lists this ribosomal RNA (458 nucleotides) under uncultured bacterium. RNAcentral describes it as "partial 16S ribosomal RNA". It matches the Rfam family "Bacterial small subunit ribosomal RNA", at positions 338 to 795 of the family's 1533-position model. The record is from RNAcentral.
CCUACGGGUGGCAGCAGUGAGGAAUAUUGGUCAAUGGGCGAGAGCCUGAACCAGCCAAGUCGCGUGAGGGAGUACUGCCCUAUGGGUUGUAAACCUCUUUUGUCGGGGAGCAAAAACCGGACGUGUCCGGCUGUGAGAGUACCCGAAGAAAAAGCAUCGGCGAACUCCGUGCCAGCAGCCGCGGUAAUACGGAGGAUGCGAGCGUUAUCCGGAUUUAUUGGGUUUAAAGGGGGCGCAGGCGGAUUUUUAAGUCAGCGGUAAAAUCGUGGGGCUCAACCCCAUCCAGCCGUUGAAACUGGGGAUCUAGAGUGUGCGAGAGGUAUGCGGAAUGCGUGGUGUAGCGGUGAAAUGCAUAGAUAUCACGCAGAACCCCGAUUGCGAAGGCAGCAUACCGGUGCACAACUGACGCUCAGGCACGAAAGCGUGGGUAUCGAACAGGAUUAGAUACCCUGGUAGUC